CAUGUGUAGCGGUGAAAUGCGUAGAUAUAUGGAGGAACACCAGUGGCGAAAGCGGCUCUCUGNUCUGUCACUGACGCUGAGGCUCGAAAGCGUGGGUAGCGAACAGGAUUAGAUACCCUGGUAGUNCACGCCGUAAACGAUGAGUGCUAGGUGUUAGGCCCUUUCCGGGGCUUAGUGCCGGAGCUAACGCAAUAAGCANUCCGCCUGGGGAGUACGACCGCAAGGUUGAAACUCAAAGGAAUUGACGGGGGCCCGCACAAGCGGUGGAGCAUGUGGUUUAAUUCGAAGCAACGCGAAGAACCUUACCAGGUCUUGACAUCCCGAUGCUAUUCUUAGAGAUAGGAAGUUACUUCGGUACAUCGGAGACAGGUGGUGCAUGGUUGUCGUCAGCUCGUGUCGUGAGAUGUUGGGUUAANNNNNNCAACGAGCGCAACCCUUAUUGUUAGUUGCCAUCAUUAAGUUGGGCACUCUAGCGAGACUGCCGGUAAUAAACCGGAGGAAGGUGGGGAUGACGUCAAAUCAUCAUGCCCCUUAUGACCUGGGCUACACACGUGCUACAAUGGUCGGUACAACGAGUUGCGAGCCGGUGACGGCAAGCUAAUCUCUGAAAGCCGAUCUCAGUUCAGAUUGGAGGCUGCAACUCGCCUCCAUGAAGUCGGAAUCGCUAGUAAUCGCGGAUCAGCACGCCGCGGUGAAUACGUUCCCGGGCCUNGU
RNAcentral lists this ribosomal RNA (714 nucleotides) under uncultured bacterium. RNAcentral describes it as "bacterial SSU rRNA". It matches the Rfam family "Bacterial small subunit ribosomal RNA", at positions 670 to 1384 of the family's 1533-position model. The record is from RNAcentral.